UUGGAGGGCAAGUCUGGUGCCAGCAGCCGCGGUAAUUCCAGCUCCAAUAGCGUAUAUUAAAGUUGUUGCAGUUAAAAAGCUCGUAGUUGAAUUUCGGGAUUGACACAUCGGUCGUGCCUUAAGGGGUAUGAACUGGUGUAGUCAGUUUCUCACCUUCUGGAGAACCGCGAUGUCCUUAAUUGGGUGCCGCGAGGAACCAGGACCUUUACUUUGAAAAAAUUAGAGUGUUUAAAGCAGGCAUUUUGCUUGAAUACAUUAGCAUGGAAUAAUAAAAUAGGACGGAUGGUUCUAUUUUGUUGGUUUCUAGGAUCACCGUAAUGAUUAAUAGGGAUAGUUGGGGGCAUUAGUAUUCAAUUGUCAGAGGUGAAAUUCUUGGAUUUAUUGAAGACUAACUACUGCGAAAGCAUUUGCCAAGGAUGUUUUCAUUAAUCAAGAACGAAAGUUAGGGGAUCGAAGACGAUCAGAUACCGUCGUAGUCUUAACCAUAAACUAUGCCGACUAGGAAUCAGACGAUGUUAAUUUUUUAAUGACUCGUUUGGCACCUUACGGGAAACCAAAGUGUUUGGGUUC
RNAcentral lists this ribosomal RNA (570 nucleotides) under Glomeromycotina sp. RFLP15 YL-2011. RNAcentral describes it as "SSU rRNA". It matches the Rfam family "Eukaryotic small subunit ribosomal RNA", at positions 548 to 1114 of the family's 1831-position model. Lineage: Eukaryota; Fungi; Glomeromycota. The record is from RNAcentral. RNAcentral also lists the same sequence under 2 other names.